Molecule: non-coding RNA, 604 nt
Organism: Mustela erminea (ermine)
Lineage: Eukaryota; Metazoa; Chordata; Mammalia; Carnivora; Mustelidae
Source: the annotation of a RefSeq genome assembly
CGUUCUGGGGCCACAGCAGCACAUAACCAGCAAUCCUCCCCUCACCCAGUCAGGUUCUUCUCACAGUGCUGAGCCCUGAAGUUGAAGAGGAAGAAGACAUUUUCCUUCUAGUGGGAGAACUCAAACAUGUUGCUCUCCAACCUUCUCAAGGUGGUCAUGGCUUCCGUGUGGCUAGGACCCAGUAUUGCCCAGAAGGUCACUCAAGCCCAACCAGCAGUGUUAGUGCAGGAGAAGGGGACUGUCACUCUGGAAUGCACAUAUAACACCAAUGAACCACGUUAUAGUCUCUUGUGGUACAAGCAACGCAGCAGUGGGGCAAUGGUUUUCCUUAUUCGUCAGGAUUCUUACAACCUGCAAAAUGCCACUGAAGAUCGCUACUCACUGAAUUUUCAGAAGACAAGAAAUUUCAUCCAACUUGUCAUCUCAGCUUCACAGCUGGAGGACUCUGCAGUGUAUUUCUGUGCACUGUGGGAGCCCACAGUGAGAGGCAUGAUGGAAGGAGGUAUACCCAAACCCCAGGGCUCUUGUUGAUGCUUCUUCCUGCAGUAGGGCCCAAGUGGGGCAAUUGCCAUCCCAGACAGGAAGUGGCACAGGUGCAGGUUUA